GGGCCUAUAGUUAAAUGGUAUAACACCUCAUUUGCAAUGAGGAGUUGGCAGUUCGAUUCUGCCUAGGUCCA
Molecule: transfer RNA, 71 nt
Filed under: Candidatus Harrisonbacteria bacterium CG10_big_fil_rev_8_21_14_0_10_40_38
Lineage: Bacteria; Candidatus Harrisoniibacteriota
Description: tRNA-Ala
Rfam family: tRNA
About the family: Transfer RNA (tRNA) molecules are approximately 80 nucleotides in length.
Source: RNAcentral